This 588-nucleotide long non-coding RNA is filed under the name Actinidia chinensis (golden kiwifruit). Its description in RNAcentral is "long non-coding RNA (ACHI_LNC000197)". Lineage: Eukaryota; Viridiplantae; Streptophyta; Magnoliopsida; Ericales; Actinidiaceae. The record is from RNAcentral.
GGUUAUAGUAUUUUUCGCAUCUAUGUACAACAUGUGUAACGCCUUAAUAAUAAGCCAUGCUUUGUUUCUAACUGUUUCUUUUGCCUGCUGGUAAUAUGACUCUCACUUCUACACUCUUAUUCCUUAUUGAAGCCAAUGUGGCACAGUAGAGCUCUUGUUUGCGUCAUUUACUGAUAAUCUGCAGAAAUCAGAUUAUAUGAUGGUAAUGGCUGACCACUCGUCAAAUCCUGGCAAUAUGUGCGGUGAAAAGCAAAUAACCCUUUAUUUUGUACAGGACUAUUUCAUUUAUCUGCUACAAUGUUAUUUAGUGACCCAUGUUCGGACUCUUGAUCCUCGGGUAAGGGCACAAGAUGUGUGCAGUUGGAUAUAUAGACCUAGCAAGCAUCUUAGUUUUUCCAAUUUACCAUGCUCUCUACACCUUGUAAACAACAUUUUACCAUAGAAAAUAUAUUAGGAAGUAUAAAUAUUUUGAUGUAUCCCAAUGUCCUUGGAUAUGGGAAUUAGAUGAAUCUAACACUUGGAGACACACCCGAGCGCAUGUAAUAUAGCACGUGAUAUUAGAAAGUCAAAGUUGUAUAGGAAACUGCA